Felis catus (domestic cat) is the source of this 1549-nucleotide long non-coding RNA. RefSeq lists it as uncharacterized. The record is from RefSeq and is a predicted model, not a curated record. The transcript has 5 exons. NCBI's taxonomy places the organism in Eukaryota, Metazoa, Chordata, Mammalia, Carnivora, Felidae.
GAGCAGGGGAACCUUCUGGUGACAUCACAGAGAGGAGCCAGGCAUGCAGUGGUCCCUCAGGAACCGGGGAGAGGCUGGCCAGCUGCGCUUAGGAGAGUCUGGAUGGAGAAACCAGGGAGAGAAAGAACCCCAGGAAGAGGAAGCUCAGGAAGGGCCCUGUAAAAACUGAGAAUGUAACUCCCAUCUGGGUGAUGAAACCGUCCUUUUAUGGCUGGCCCUUCAGUCCACAUCAUUGUUGCCUCCCCAGACCCUUCAAACAAGAUCUGUUGGCCUCCAAGGAGGGAGGAGGGUGCCCAGCCUUGGGGAUGCAAUCCAGGGGAUCCACCUGUUACUGUCUGCCCCUCUCUUGGGAAAGCCAGCUGCCAGCCCCUGCUCCAAUGGGGAAAGAAGGCUGGACCGGUGCUUACAGGGUUCACAAUAAGCCUCCAACAGCUUCUCAGAGAUUCUCGUGUGGUCUGGGCACCCGGCACAAGCUUUCUGUCUGCCCUCCUCCUGCAUCCCAUUGGCAUCUUCACACAGGCACCCAGCAGCCGGAACCACCCAGCCAGGCCUGCACAAGACGUGUGACCACAGAUGCUGGGGGGCACUUGUGCGUGGACGUAUGCCACGUACACAGAAAAGGCUUUGAAGAAGAUUCAAAGCCUCAGGCCAGGAAGCGGUGACCACCCUGGGGGACAGGGGCAACAGUCAAGCUCUCCUGGCCCUGCUCCUGUCACUGCAAGAGUGUCCCCUUUCCUGAGGCCUUGAAGGGCAUUGAAAAUCAUGAUUAUGGGAGGCUGAGAUGGGGUCAGUGGGUUCCAGGGGUCCCUCUGCCUGGCAGCGGGAGGGCACCCCCCUCCCGCCCCGCCCGGAAGUCACUGUGCAAGCUCUGAGAGCUCCCGUAGCCCUGGGGAAGGAGCUUACCCUGAACAACAGCAUGCCAUCAGCCUGCCUUGGGGGUCUUCUCCCUUCUGGGCACCUCCUCUGACUCUUGACUUUUUGGCGCAGGUUAGGAUCUCACGGUUCAUUCGAGCCCUGCAUCAGGUGCUGUGUUGACAAUGCAGAGCCUGCUUGGGAUUCUUUCUCUCCUUCUCCCUCUGCCUCUCCCCUGCUCUCUCUCUCCCUCUCUCUCUCUAAAUAAAUAAAUAAAUAAGCACUAAAAAAAAAAAAAAAAAGAAUGCUCCUUACAAGCUAGUGCUUCGGGGAAACAAAACGUUACCACUCUCCCAGCUCAGAGCACUGUCAGGCAGAAGUGACCUCAGCACUACCUGUUGUUGGUGUCCAGGACACCUGCCAGCCUACUUUGCCACUCCAGGACACCUCUCAGUGCCUGCUGAAAAGCCUCCCACAUUGAUUGGAAAUUUAGUUAAAGCUUUUGAAAUGGGCGAUUUUCUACAAAGGUCACUGCAACUCUACGAAUGGUCUGUGCUGUCUGGUGACCCCCGGAAGGCAUUGGAGGGAAGGGUCAAGAUGUGAGAAGGAAGACCAUGUAGUUUGCAGACCCACAUGUGCAGCCCCUGCCCACACCCACCUGACUUUCCUUUCCUCUUUGUCACAUGAAUACCACACA